Molecule: long non-coding RNA, 1087 nt
Filed under: Nicotiana benthamiana
Lineage: Eukaryota; Viridiplantae; Streptophyta; Magnoliopsida; Solanales; Solanaceae
Description: long non-coding RNA (NBEN_LNC033321)
Source: RNAcentral
UACAAAGUGUAAAAUUCCUUACUAUAGUGAUAUCAGUUGCUCAUCUCAGGGCCGUGGUUUUUUCCCUUAUUCAGAAGGGUUUUCCACGUAAAAAUCUUGAUGUCGUUAUUACUCUUUUAUUCUUGUUUAUUACCGUAUCUCAGUGCUACAUUAUUAUUCCGCUUUUAUUACCGUGAAUAUUAUUUUGAUAGGGGUUUUAUUCCCAACACAUAAAACCAAUAAAGGCAUAAAUUAGAAGUUAAAAAAGAUUAGGUAACAAAAACCAGUUAGCAGACAACUUCAAUAAAAUUUAUAUCGCAAAUGGUAUCACAUGCAAUGUAAGAACCUGUGCGUCUUAAGAGCUUUCAUCCACGGAUUAGGCGGGGACAAGAUUCAAACAUGCAAUCUUCAAGUCAUGAGCCUAAUGAGUUGACCAAUUCUUUUAUCCCAUAUUCUCUUUCUUUAAUAUGAAGUGGAUGUGGAUUCGAACCACACAACAAUUUUCAGUCUAGCUGAGCUACUUAAACCACUUUGAAAUAAGUCUCCUUUCUUUAUGUAAUUUGGCCCCCCGGGGAUUCUAACGACGGAACUUACUUAUCAAAAAAAUAAUAAUUACGAAACUUCAACUCUUCCUAAAAUACAAGCCACAAAUAUAAACAAGUGAUCCAUAAAGUAAGAAAAUGCAAAAGGUGCUUGAACACACAUACAUCUGUUCAGUUAAAAUAAAUGCAACACAGAAGGAAAAGUUCUCUUUGACAUUUUUCUCUUCCUACUCCCUUUGUUCUUUGUAUCUUUUAAAUCUUUUAAAAUCGUUUUCUCAAAGAAAAAUUAACUCCCUUUAAUGUUUUUUCCUACUUCGCUUAUUUUUAAUCUUUAUGUGAAAAAUUCCAUUCUUAUUUGAAGCCCUACUUACCUAUGUGUUACAUGUACCUUAAGUCAAAAUAAUAGCUUGUCCGGGAAUCAUAUUAGUGGAUUUUGAGGGGUGCCUAAUACCUUUCCCUUAAAAUAAUUUCAAGCCAUUACCCAAUCUCUGGUUAUCCGACGCAAAUCCUCCUUAGUGUCCUAAUGCACUCAAAUCAUUAGGUAGCGACUCUUCACUCUAUUAAAC